Long non-coding RNA from Siniperca chuatsi (mandarin fish), 1619 nucleotides. RefSeq lists it as uncharacterized. NCBI's taxonomy places the organism in Eukaryota, Metazoa, Chordata, Actinopteri, Centrarchiformes, Sinipercidae. The record is from RefSeq and is a predicted model, not a curated record. The transcript is spliced from 2 exons.
UAAGAAGUAAUAGUGCAAUAAUGAGUACUGUCAAGUUAAGUGUAGCUUAUUAAGAUGUUGAUUAUGAGACGGUGGAUACUGCACAGCAAAGUUACCAGUAGAGAAGAGGCUUGCCUUACGUUCUUCAGCAAUAGCAGUAGUAGUAGCAAUAGAGUUUUUACACAGUCAAAUGAUCAAAUGUAGUAACUUUCUCAGUUAUUUCACUAGAACAGCACGUGAUGGUCAAAUCAUGUCACCUUGCCCAGAAUCUAAUGCCUAAGACAUUUAUUGUGCCAUCAGUCAUUGGAAUAGCUGCCCCCUUUACAUACGUCAAUCCUAUAGCAAAUCCUCAUUGUCAUGGAACAGGUGUACCAUUCCUAGAGUCUGUCUGUUUGUCCCCCGUUUGUUCCCCUCCUGUGUUUGUGUGUGUGUGUGUGUGUGUGUGUGUGUGCUGCGGGGCACGGCCUCCGGUGAACUUCCAAUCAGAGACUGACACACCUGCUACUCAUCUGCUGCUGCUCACCUGCUCUCCAUCCACCAUUCAACACCUGGCAGUAUAUCUCCCCGGCUCUUCUCACCAGUCUUUGCCAGAUCGUCCGUUUACCCAAGUGCUUUGUUCCUCUCACCUGCCUCCAAGUUACUCACCGACUUUCCAGGAAGACCUCAGCUCGGAUCUUCCGCUGCUCCACUUCAGCCUGCUGUCCUCACUCCGCCUGCCUGCCCUCACCAGUCUCUUGCCAGCCUGCUGUCUUCACCCAGUCCACCGGCUCACAGCGAUUACCUCCAUACUCCUGGUUACUCAUUGUGUUUUUACAAUAAACGGAAACUAACAACUUCAACUCCGUCUGUGCUAGUCGUGCUUUUGGGUGCAGCCCCUGUGUACCAUAACACUCAUUCAAAUACAAUUUAAGAAUGGAUUACAUAAGCAGCUGAUCAACAGUGUUGGUCAUGUUUAAUGUCUUGUUCUUGUUCCCUGGUGAUGGCCCCUGAGGCUAAUUCUGAGACUAAUUCAUUGAAGACGAUGUAAUUGAAUGUACAUUGGAAUGAAUGUUUGAGAAAAUUUGAACUUAAUGUAACACCAUUAGAGGUGCACUUGUGAUGAACGUAGCGUAAUACAAAUGUGAUGUUGCAUAUGUAUGAACAUGAUGUACUGGAUUUCGAACUCCAAUUAGACUAGCUGGUGCCAUUGGCGUCAGCUAAUGAGGAUCCUUUUAAAUAAAUACAGUCUACAAGAAUUUUGAUUUCAAGUAGCAUCACUAAUAUCUAGUUACUUGACUGAUCUGAUUGAAUCAGCAAAUUAGUCAAUUUCAUAGAUCAGUUAUUUUAAAAGUACCAAUCAAUUCUUGAAUCAUGACCAAAUAAAUGCAAACUAUGAUGCAACACUAAGCAAUACCCUUUAUUGUGUAGUUUAAUUUUGAUGAAUUGCUCUCAGGUUUACUUAAGUUUGAAUGUGAAUUCCAAAAAAACAUCAUGAAGCAGGAAAUCAGACAUUUACAGAUUACAUUAAUGUAUUUUAUUGAUGCCUUUCACUCUUUGCAGGAAGGUGAGUUUCAGUAAAACUUUACAUGUUCAAUGUUUGUACACAAUAAACCAUCUAAAUUAAAAUGAUACAACAGUUGUUUUUGUUAAACUCAUUAUUA